GGCAUUCCUGAAGGAUGUGCUAUUGAUCAUUCGCAAAUCAGUUCACCGAGAGUGCAAGAUUUCUCAAGAGGGAUUAAUUUUGAGAAACAUUCCCUUGACAGCGACAUAAUAAUUACUCCUUCUUCAAGAUUGUCA
Molecule: non-coding RNA, 135 nt
Organism: Nylanderia fulva
Lineage: Eukaryota; Metazoa; Arthropoda; Insecta; Hymenoptera; Formicidae
Source: RefSeq, a predicted model, not a curated record